RNAcentral lists this long non-coding RNA (345 nucleotides) under Phoenix dactylifera (date palm). Its description in RNAcentral is "long non-coding RNA (PDAC_LNC007468)". The record is from RNAcentral. Lineage: Eukaryota; Viridiplantae; Streptophyta; Magnoliopsida; Arecales; Arecaceae.
CGCCCCACACCGGAACCCACUCACACCAGCGCCGCCACCGACGUCGGACAAGCAAGAGAGAUACAAACGGAUAAGCACUCUCUCGCUCCCUCGACUCCGGACUCAAGGAUCACCUCUUCGCUCCGCCUACGAAGGGCAAAAGAUUACCCCGUGGUAUCAGUAGGGUAAAACACUUGAGCACCGCAACGGAUUAUCAAAGAUCAAAGGAAGAAGAAGGAAGAAAAUAGCAAAGCAAACACAAAGAUGUAACGAGGUUCGGCUACAAAUAGCCUACGUCCUCCACCGCUCCAAAUCUCAAUAAGGAUGAACUGAUUACAGAGAUAGCACACACCCGAACGAUCACAA